This is a long non-coding RNA of Hemicordylus capensis (graceful crag lizard), 419 nucleotides long. RefSeq lists it as uncharacterized. NCBI's taxonomy places the organism in Eukaryota, Metazoa, Chordata, Lepidosauria, Squamata, Cordylidae. The record is from RefSeq and is a predicted model, not a curated record. The transcript has 3 exons.
GGGCAGAACUCGAAAUUUACCCUGCUCCCCCAAAGCGGCUCAUUACAAACCCGACGCGACAACCUGGGGAGGGGAGGGGGGGGGAGUUGUGUGGAUGAAUGGCAGGCAGAAGACAAGCACAAAGAGAAAGGUUUACAUGGUGAUCCUCCACGUUCUUUAAAUAAGUUGCAGUGAGAUUUCACCUCAAAUAGGCUCUUCAACAAUGAGGUGCCGAACAGGAGUAGUGCAAGACGUUUUGCUGCCAGAGGCAAAGAACAAUGUGAUGCCCCCCUCUCCGCAUCUACAGCAAACCAGCAGCCAUGUAAAUGGCUGUACCAUCAAGCUGUGCUUGUGGACCUCUUCCAAGUUGUGAUAAACGACAACACAGAUCACCUGGUUAGGCAGGUUGAAGGAAAGAUACCUGAAAUCGAGUGCCUGCU